GUUUGCGCACACCACAAUGGUUGCUGUUGAUUUCAUCGAUCUGUUUGUUGAUCAGAUUGGUGCUAUUCCAUAUACAGGUUGACUAUUUUGAUUGGAGCAGUGUCUUUACUAAAGUCUGCGUGCACAUUACAAUUGGUGUGGUAUCAAACUCAUGACAAUGAAUUGGCUGCAAAAUCUUCUGUUUUUAAAUAUCUUUCUUUUCUAUUAUGUAAUUGGCUACAAUUUAGUUCUCGUGGAUGCUGCUUUUUGAUUGCAUUCAAAGUAAACUUCAAAAGAUCCAUUGCUUUGAGAUUGGAUAUGAUUUUCCUUCUUAAAAAUUCACAACUUUUUUAAGGUAGUUUAUAAUAAGAAUGAAGUACCUUAAUAUUUGGGAGGCGUAAGACUACUAACCUUGAGUCUCAACUCCAACCUCCACUCUUCUUUCAUCUAAAGGCUUGAUGAUAUGAGUAUAUAUGAUGCACCCAGCUUGCCAAGCCUCUAGAAGAGGAAAACAAGGUACAAUGAUCCCACAUGCAGCAUGUUAAUUUUAUGAUCCCGUAGAGGACAUAAUAAUCAACCCAGCUUCUGCCUAAGGAAAACCAAGGCACUUAUAUCAUUCUGAUCUAUCCCCGCAAAA
Molecule: non-coding RNA, 616 nt
Organism: Prunus avium (sweet cherry)
Lineage: Eukaryota; Viridiplantae; Streptophyta; Magnoliopsida; Rosales; Rosaceae
Source: RefSeq, a predicted model, not a curated record